Molecule: long non-coding RNA, 95 nt
Organism: Diorhabda carinulata
Lineage: Eukaryota; Metazoa; Arthropoda; Insecta; Coleoptera; Chrysomelidae
Exons: 2
Source: RefSeq, a predicted model, not a curated record
UUUAAAACCACUGCAAAUCUUAAUAAAUUAUUCAUAACUUCAGUCCCAGACGAAGAAAUAUCCGAAUGCUCGGGAAAUAUAUAAAAGUUAGUCCA